UGGGGAAUUUUCCGCAAUGGGCGAAAGCCUGACGGAGCAAUACCGCGUGAGGGACGAAGGCUUUUGGGUCGUAAACCUCUUUUCCCUGAGAAGAAGAUCUGACGGUAUCAGGGGAAUCAGCAUCGGCUAACUUCGUGCCAGCAGCCGCGGUAAUACGAGGGAUGCAAGCGUUAUCCGGAAUUAUUGGGCGUAAAGCGUCCGCAGGUGGCUCUGUAAGUCUGUCGUUAAAGAAUGGGGCUCAACCCCAUACAGGCGAUGGAAACUACAAGGCUAGAGUUUGGUAGGGGUCACGGGAAUUCCUAGUGUAGCGGUGAAAUGCGUAGAUAUUAGGAAGAACACCAGCGGCGAAAGCGCGUGACUGGGCCAGUACUGACACUCAUGGACGAAAGCUAGGGGAGCGAAAG
Molecule: ribosomal RNA, 404 nt
Filed under: uncultured bacterium
Lineage: Bacteria
Description: bacterial SSU rRNA
Rfam family: Bacterial small subunit ribosomal RNA
Source: RNAcentral